RNAcentral lists this ribosomal RNA (449 nucleotides) under Campylobacter gracilis. RNAcentral describes it as "bacterial SSU rRNA". It matches the Rfam family "Bacterial small subunit ribosomal RNA", at positions 29 to 492 of the family's 1533-position model. The record is from RNAcentral. Lineage: Bacteria; Pseudomonadati; Campylobacterota; Epsilonproteobacteria; Campylobacterales; Campylobacteraceae.
AGUGAACGUUGGCGGCGUGCCUAAUACACGCAAGUCGAACGGAAUUUAAAAGAGCUUGCUCUUUUAAAUUUAGUGGCGCACGGGUGAGUAAUAUAUAGCUAAUCUGCCCCUUGCUGGAGGACAACAGUUAGAAAUGACUGCUAAUACUCCAUACUCCUUUUUACCAUAAGAUAAAUCGGGAAAGAAUUUCGGCAAGGGAUGAGACUAUAUCGUAUCAGCUAGUCGGUGGGGUAACGGCCUACCGAGGCUAUGACGCGUAACUGGUCUGAGAGGAUGAUCAGUCACAUUGGAACUGAGACACGGUCCAAACUCCUACGGGAGGCAGCAGUAGGGAAUAUUGCGCAAUGGGGGAAACCCUGACGCAGCAACGCCGCGUGGAGGAUGACACUUUUCGGAGCGUAAACUCCUUUUGUUAGGGAAGAAUAAUGACGUUACCUAACGAAUAAGCA